Unclassified non-coding RNA from Pongo abelii (Sumatran orangutan), 148 nucleotides. It matches the Rfam family "Metazoan signal recognition particle RNA". From Rfam's summary of the family: The signal recognition particle (SRP) is a universally conserved ribonucleoprotein. It is involved in the co-translational targeting of proteins to membranes. The eukaryotic SRP consists of a 300-nucleotide 7S RNA and six proteins: SRPs 72, 68, 54, 19, 14, and 9. NCBI's taxonomy places the organism in Eukaryota, Metazoa, Chordata, Mammalia, Primates, Hominidae. The record is from Ensembl.
GCUGGGCGUGGUGGCGGGUGCCUGUAGUCCCAGCUACUCAGGAGGCUGAGGCAGGAGAAUUGCUUGAACCCAGGAGGUGUCGGUUGCAAUGAGCCAAGAUCAUGCCACUGCAUUCCAGCCUGGGUGACAGAGCGAGACUCUGUCUCAA